RNAcentral lists this ribosomal RNA (254 nucleotides) under uncultured bacterium. Its description in RNAcentral is "partial 16S ribosomal RNA". It matches the Rfam family "Bacterial small subunit ribosomal RNA", at positions 524 to 776 of the family's 1533-position model. The record is from RNAcentral.
UACGUAGGGUGCGAGCGUUUGUCCGGAAUUAUUGGGCGUAAAGAGCUCGUAGGCGGUUUGUCACGUCUGCUGUGAAAUCCCGAGGCUCAACCUCGGGCCUGCAGUGGGUACGGGCAGACUGGAGUGCGGUAGGGGAGAAUGGAAUUCCUGGUGUAGCGGUGGAAUGCGCAGAUAUCAGGAGGAACACCAAUGGCGAAGGCAGAUCUCUGGGCCGUAACUGACGCUGAGGAGCGAAAGCGUGGGGAGCAAACAGG